GACGAACGCUGGCGGCGUGCUUAACACAUGCAAGUCGAGCGAUGAAGUUCCUUCGGGAAUGGAUUAGCGGCGGACGGGUGAGUAACACGUGGGUAACCUGCCUCAUAGAGGGGAAUAGCCUUCCGAAAGGAAGAUUAAUACCGCAUAAGAUUGUAGUAUCGCAUGAUAUAGCAAUUAAAGGAGUAAUCCGCUAUGAGAUGGACCCGCGUCGAAUUAGCUAGUUGGUGAGGUAACGGCCCACCAAGGCGACGAUGCGUAGCCGACCUGAGAGGGUGAUCGGCCACAUUGGGACUGAGACACGGCCCAGACUCCUACGGGAGGCAGCAGUGGGGAAUAUUGCACAAUGGGAGAAACCCUGAUGCAGCAACGCCGCGUGAGUGAUGACGGUCUUCGGAUUGUAAAGCUCUGUCUUCAGGGGCGAUAAUGACGGUACCUGAGGAGGAAGCCACGGCUAACUACGUGCCAGCCGCCGCAGUAA
RNAcentral lists this ribosomal RNA (478 nucleotides) under uncultured bacterium. Its description in RNAcentral is "partial 16S ribosomal RNA". It matches the Rfam family "Bacterial small subunit ribosomal RNA", at positions 28 to 523 of the family's 1533-position model. The record is from RNAcentral.